This 22-nucleotide transfer RNA is filed under the name Meghimatium bilineatum. RNAcentral describes it as "partial tRNA-Lys". Lineage: Eukaryota; Metazoa; Mollusca; Gastropoda; Stylommatophora; Philomycidae. The record is from RNAcentral.
UUUAACUACGACCUAUAGGUCU